UGGCGGCCAUAGAGAUUUGGAACCACCCGAUCCCAUCCCGAACUCGGAAGUGAAACAGAUCAUCGCCGAUGGUAGUGUGGGGCUUCCCCAUGCGAGAGUAGGUCAUCGCCAG
This 112-nucleotide ribosomal RNA is filed under the name marine eukaryotic metagenome. The record is from RNAcentral.